This 505-nucleotide ribosomal RNA is filed under the name uncultured bacterium. Its description in RNAcentral is "bacterial SSU rRNA". It matches the Rfam family "Bacterial small subunit ribosomal RNA", at positions 26 to 518 of the family's 1533-position model. The record is from RNAcentral.
AGGACGAACGCUGGCGGCGUGCCUAACACAUGCAAGUCGAGCGGGACAUACGACGGAGAGGAAGUUUCGGAUGGAAUCAAAGAUGUAUGUUCUAGCGGCGGACGGGUGAGUAACGCGUGAGCAACCUGUCCUUCACAGGGGGAUAACACAGCGAAAGUUGUACUAAUACCGCAUAAGACCACGGCAGGGCAUCCUGGUGAGGUCAAAGGAGCAAUCCGGUGAAGGGUGGGCUCGCGUCCGAUUAGAUAGUUGGUGAGGUAACGGCCCACCAAGUCAACGAUCGGUAGCCGACCUGAGAGGGUGAUCGGCCACAUUGGGACUGAGACACGGCCCAAACUCCUACGGGAGGCAGCAGUGGGGAAUAUUGGGCAAUUGGGGGGAAACCCUGACCCAGCAACGCCGCGUGAGGGAAGAAGGUUUUCGGAUCGUAAACCUCUGUCCUUGGUGAAGAGGAAGAGACGGUAGCCAAGGAGGAAGCCCCGGCUAACUACGUGCCAGCAGCCGC